RNAcentral lists this transfer RNA (75 nucleotides) under Schistocerca americana (American grasshopper). Its description in RNAcentral is "tRNA-Leu". It matches the Rfam family "tRNA". Rfam says of the family: Transfer RNA (tRNA) molecules are approximately 80 nucleotides in length. Lineage: Eukaryota; Metazoa; Arthropoda; Insecta; Orthoptera; Acrididae. The record is from RNAcentral.
UGCUUGGGUAGCUCAGAUGGUAGAGCACUUGCCCUCAAAAGGCAAAGGUCCCGAGUUCGAGUCUCGGUCCGGCAU